This 386-nucleotide ribosomal RNA is filed under the name Lactobacillus sp. UN_51. RNAcentral describes it as "bacterial SSU rRNA". It matches the Rfam family "Bacterial small subunit ribosomal RNA", at positions 215 to 593 of the family's 1533-position model. The record is from RNAcentral. Lineage: Bacteria; Bacillati; Bacillota; Bacilli; Lactobacillales; Lactobacillaceae.
UCACUCUGGGAUGGACCUGCGGUGCAUUAGCUAGUUGGUAAGGUAACGGCUUACCAAGGCAAUGAUGCAUAGCCGAGUUGAGAGACUGAUCGGCCACAAUGGAACUGAGACACGGUCCAUACUCCUACGGGAGGCAGCAGUAGGGAAUCUUCCACAAUGGACGCAAGUCUGAUGGAGCAACGCCGCGUGAGUGAAGAAGGGUUUCGGCUCGUAAAGCUCUGUUGGUAGAGAAGAACGAUAGAGAGAGUAACUGUUCUCGCAGUGACGGUAUCUAAACAGAAAGUCACGGCUAACUACGUGCCAGCAGCCGCGGUAAUACGUAGGUGGCAAGCGUUAUCCGGAUUUAUUGGGCGUAAAGCGAGCGCAGGCGGUUCAAUAAGUCUGAU